GAGAAAGGCUUGAAGCACCGAACACUGCUAAUUUUCGUAACCUCAGUUUGACUCUGGGGCUCUCUCG
This 67-nucleotide transfer RNA is filed under the name Kopua minima. RNAcentral's name for it is "Aspasma minima tRNA-Ser". Lineage: Eukaryota; Metazoa; Chordata; Actinopteri; Blenniiformes; Gobiesocidae. The record is from RNAcentral.